Molecule: non-coding RNA, 92 nt
Organism: Mycena leptocephala
Lineage: Eukaryota; Fungi; Basidiomycota; Agaricomycetes; Agaricales; Mycenaceae
Source: the annotation of a GenBank genome assembly
GCGGCCUUGGUGUAACGGUAACACACAAUCUACUCUUUAGAAUUCUGUAUCCCUCAGAGAUUGGGUCCGGGGUUCGAGUCCCCGAGGUCGCA